AUUACCGCGUGAGCUGGCACGAGUUAGCCGGAUGUUAUUCUUCGCUACCGUCCUCAUCGUCGCGUGGAAGAAGUUUACAACCGAAAGGCCUUCGUCUUUCACGCGGCCUCCCUGGAUCAGGGUUGCCCCCAUUGUGCAAUAUUCCCCACUGCUGCCUCCAGUAGAAGUCG
RNAcentral lists this ribosomal RNA (170 nucleotides) under uncultured bacterium. RNAcentral's name for it is "partial 16S ribosomal RNA". The record is from RNAcentral.